GGAAGGUUUGAAAAAAAAUAGAAGAGGAAUGACGUGGUGCCUGGUGGUGUAGAGAGAGAAUGGCGAUAAUAGAAAUGGGUAUGAGGGGUAUGGCAGUAUAUAUGUAGGAGUUGGUGAUGUGCAUGAGUAUGGAAGGGUAGUGGGCAUGAGGAUAGGAAUCAUGAAAGUGAGAGGAAGAUGUCGACAUGAAACGGGUAAUGGAAAGGGUUCAAUGGGUUUAGGAAGAAGUGGUGGCAUGCAUGGGCAUGGAAAUGGGUAUAUGCAGUGUGGAUAUAGGAUAUGGUGGAGCGAGCAAAGCGGUUCAGCAUACUGACAGUGAGCAAGGCACGGGUGCGGUGAUAUGUAUGGUGAAUGAGGGGUUCAAUGAGAGAGGUUUUGAAUAGUGGAGUGAAUGAGAGGUAUGUG
RNAcentral lists this long non-coding RNA (405 nucleotides) under Vitis vinifera (wine grape). Its description in RNAcentral is "long non-coding RNA (VVIN_LNC005364)". Lineage: Eukaryota; Viridiplantae; Streptophyta; Magnoliopsida; Vitales; Vitaceae. The record is from RNAcentral.